UACGUAGGGGGCAAGCGUUGUCCGGAUUUAUUGGGCGUAAAGAGCGUGUAGGCGGCUAGGUAGGUCCGUUGUGAAAACUCGAGGCUCAACCUCGAGACGCCGGUGGAAACCAUCUAGCUAGAGUCCGGAAGAGGAGAGUGGAAUUCCUGGUGUAGCGGUGAAAUGCGCAGAUAUCAGGAGGAACACCAAUAGCGAAGGCAGCUCGCUGGGACGGUACUGACGCUAAGGCGCGAAAGCGUGGGGAGCGAACAGG
RNAcentral lists this ribosomal RNA (253 nucleotides) under uncultured bacterium. RNAcentral describes it as "partial 16S ribosomal RNA". It matches the Rfam family "Bacterial small subunit ribosomal RNA", at positions 524 to 776 of the family's 1533-position model. The record is from RNAcentral.